CAUGCUACGAAGGUCAGUCUCCAAAAGCAACUGCCAGCGUUAGGAAGGACACAAUUAGUCACUCCCUCCCACACUGGGCGCAACUGAGGCCAGACAGGACAAGGCAAGGAGCAUCUCCCACGACUUUUUCUUCUUCAAGAAAUACGGAGGCACUGAAUCCGGGUUGUCGCGAGAGGCAAACACGAGCACAAUCUCACCAUGAAUAAAGUUCUUCUUCUGACGGUGCUACUAGCGGUCCUCGUAGGCGUGGCGUGGUCCUUCCCACAGGUGGUCAUAACGCAGCCUCGAAAGUUCCCCGGAGAAAGGCGUCUGGGGACCAUUAACUACGGCCAAUAUCGCUUCGGCAAGAGAGGAUACCAGAGGAAGUGCCAUUCAAGAAAAAAGAACUGUAAGUUUCAUUAGAGAAAGGGAGAGAAAAACAAAAAAACUUACAGCUUAAACUGACAAAUGAAUCCAAGCUAACAGAGGCUACGCAUGGAAGGUAUACAUAGAAAAUUUAUAUUUAGUAUGUUGGAGUUUGUUAAAGUAUUGGAAAAUGAUAAACGUGUAGUGCAAACACAGAUUUUGGAUACGAAGUUAUGCAGUCGUUAACGAAAAGCAUGUUAGGCUAGGGAAGCUAAAUUAGUGUGUGAGGAAAAUGCAGCCACAGUGAAAGUUAUAUAUAUGAUUAAGAGACUUAAUAGUCAUGACAAAUUUCCAUCAAUUAUAGUAUCUGUACUCUUAUUGUCAUUACAACUGUGUUACCUUAAAAUCAAUUUAAGCUGAACGUCUUGAAAUACUCAAGUCAGCAAAAGUUCUGAUAAUAAUUUAUGGACAAAUUGCCAUAAAAUUGAAAAUUGGACCGUCUACUACCAUGUGAAUAGUUACAGGCAACAACGAAGACCGCAAAAGAGGUGUGAAAUCCAGUUAACGAUUUAUGUUCAUUUCCAUCGAUUUGGUGUCUCUUUGGCGUACCUUCCUUGAGGGAUCUGGUGAAACUAUUGUCAAAACUGUAGGUUAGGAGAAAACCUAUAGUAUGUAGUAAUUUGAUUUAUAUUAAAUCAUCCAUGUUUAUAAUUAUUUAGUACAUUUGUGCAUAUUUACGUAUAAGAAAUGCUGUUUUAUUCUGAAACAUUGUUAACAAGGUUGUUACACUUAGUAUUAUGUAUUUUUUAUUUUUAUACUUCAGUCAUUGAAUAUUUUACUACGACACUGUAAAUAUGUGUUAUAAAUACAUGUUACUUAAGUCGCUGACUGUUAUGCAAAUGCUACAACUGUGAAAAUAAAGACAUAUUUUCUUUUAAAA
Long non-coding RNA from Penaeus chinensis, 1285 nucleotides. RefSeq lists it as uncharacterized. The record is from RefSeq and is a predicted model, not a curated record. NCBI's taxonomy places the organism in Eukaryota, Metazoa, Arthropoda, Malacostraca, Decapoda, Penaeidae. The transcript has 4 exons.